Molecule: ribosomal RNA, 441 nt
Filed under: uncultured bacterium
Lineage: Bacteria
Description: partial 16S ribosomal RNA
Rfam family: Bacterial small subunit ribosomal RNA
Source: RNAcentral
CCUACGGGCGGCAGCAGUGGGGAAUAUUGCACAAUGGGGGAAACCCUGAUGCAGCGACGCCGCGUGAGUGAAGAAGUAUUUCGGUAUGUAAAGCUCUAUCAGCAGGGAAGAAGGAACACGGUACCUGACUAAGAAGCCUCGGCUAACUACGUGACAGCAGCCGCGGUAAUACGGAGGGCGCAAGCGUUGUCCGGAUUGACUGGGUGUAAAGGGAUCGUAGACGGCUGGGCAAGUCAGAAGUGAAAGCCCAGGGCUCAACCCUGGGACUGCCUUGGAAACUGGGGAGCUAGAGUGCUGGAGAGGUAAGUGGAAUUCCGAGUGUAGCGGUGAAAUGCGUAGAUAUUAGGAGGAACACCAGUGGCGAAGGCGGCUUACUGGACAGUAACUGACGUUGAGGCUCGAAAGCGUGGGGAGCAAACAGGAUUAGAUACCCCAGUAGUC